UUACCUACCCUUGACAUGUACGGAAUUCCGCUGAGAGGUGGAAGUGCCCGAAAGGGAGCCGUAACACAGGUGCUGCAUGGCUGUCGUCAGCUCGUGUCGUGAGAUGUUGGGUUAAGUCCCGCAACGAGCGCAACCCUUGUCCCUAGUUGCUACGCAAGAGCACUCCAGGGAGACUGCCGGUGACAAACCGGAGGAAGGUGGGGAUGACGUCAAGUCCUCAUGGCCCUUAUGGGUAGGGCUUCACACGUCAUACAAUGGUCGGAACAGAGGGUUGCCAAGCCGCGAGGUGGAGCCAAUCCCAGAAAACCGAUCGUAGUCCGGAUCGCAGUCUGCAACUCGACUGCGUGAAGCUGGAAUCGCUAGUAAUCGCGGAUCAGCAUGC
Molecule: ribosomal RNA, 382 nt
Filed under: Burkholderia sp. CAS32
Lineage: Bacteria; Pseudomonadati; Pseudomonadota; Betaproteobacteria; Burkholderiales; Burkholderiaceae
Description: bacterial SSU rRNA
Rfam family: Bacterial small subunit ribosomal RNA
Source: RNAcentral